ACUCGUAGACUCCUACGGGAGGCAGCAGUGGGGAAUCUUCGGCAAUGGGCGCAAGCCUGACCGAGCCAUGCCGCGUGAGUGAUGAAAGGUUUUCGGAAUGUAAAACUCUUUCGUGGCGGACGUAAUGACGGUACCCGAAGAAGAAGCCCCGGCUAACUUCGUGCCAGCAGCCGCGGUAAUACGAAGGGGCUAGCGUUGUUCGGAAUUACUGGGCGUAAAGCGCGCGUAGGCGGAUCGUUAAGUUAGAGGUGAAAUCCCAGGGCUCAACCCUGGAACUGCCUUUAAUACUGGCGGUCUAGAGAUCGAGAGAGGUAAGUGGAAUUCCGAGUGUAGAGGUGAAAUUCGUAGAUAUUCGGAGGAACACCAGUGGCGAAGGCGGCUUACUGGCUCGAUACUGACGCUGAGGCGCGAAAGCGUGGGGAGCAAACAGGAUUAGAUACCCUGGUAG
This 448-nucleotide ribosomal RNA is filed under the name uncultured bacterium. RNAcentral describes it as "bacterial SSU rRNA". It matches the Rfam family "Bacterial small subunit ribosomal RNA", at positions 327 to 793 of the family's 1533-position model. The record is from RNAcentral.